RNAcentral lists this ribosomal RNA (253 nucleotides) under uncultured bacterium. RNAcentral describes it as "partial 16S ribosomal RNA". It matches the Rfam family "Bacterial small subunit ribosomal RNA", at positions 524 to 776 of the family's 1533-position model. The record is from RNAcentral.
UACGUAGGGCGCAAGCGUUGUCCGGAAUUAUUGGGCGUAAAGAGCUCGUAGGCGGCUUGUCACGUCUGCUGUGAAAUCCCGGGGCUCAACCCCGGGCGUGCAGUGGAUACGGGCUGGCUAGAGGCAGGCAGGGGAGAACGGAAUUCCCGGUGUAGCGGUGAAAUGCGCAGAUAUCGGGAAGAACACCUAUGGCGAAGGCAGCUCUCUGGGACGGUACUGACGCUGAGACGCGAAAGCGUGGGGAGCAAACAGG